RNA transcript from Zea mays, 3867 nucleotides. RefSeq lists it as uncharacterized. NCBI's taxonomy places the organism in Eukaryota, Viridiplantae, Streptophyta, Magnoliopsida, Poales, Poaceae. The record is from RefSeq and is a predicted model, not a curated record. The transcript has 13 exons.
CCUUCGAUGAAUCUAAGCCGUUCUUCCACCACGAUGCAACCGCGACCCCAACCCGCUCGUUCCCCUCCCCCUCCUCUCUUUCUCUCUCGCGCUUGACUCCCCCGCCGCCCCUUCCCGUCCCCACCCCGACGCCGUCCGCUCCCCAUCCACCAUCCCAGCGCGAUGGCUGGGAGGACCGCGCCCGCCUCCCUCCCCUCCUUCUCCCUCACGCCCGACUCCCUCGCUGCCCCUUUAUCCUGGAUCUCGUCAUGGACGCUACCACGACCAACGGUUCGACGGAGCAGGCGCCGCACUCUGCGCCACGGGACGGAGCCCGUCCCCACCCGACACCGGCCACCUCCACCCCGAGCUCCUCCGAGAAGUGAGUGAUUUCCAUUUCUUCGAUUGGAUGACGCGCGGUCGGGCCUCCGCACCUCUCUGUCCCCCUCCCCUCCCGCGGCGACAGCUUCCUCUAGGAGAUGAGCGCGCCCGCCCCCGCGCGCACCACCACCACCACGCGUCCACGCCCCUCGUGCACCUUCUCGCCCGAGUCUGGUAACGGUGCAAAGGCAAAUGGGGCAUCAUCACAUAUCUAGGUCGUAUUUUCGACAGACAGAUAUAAAACGGAGUGGGAAUGCCUCGAUUGAUAUCAUGUCCAAGUUCUUCAAGCUGAUGGUGGUUCUACAAUUAAUGAAUGAUUUGAACGAAGUGUUCAAGAUGCCGCUAUCUCUUGUAUUGAGGUUAGUUAAUUCCAUAUUUGAUAUUGUCUGUGUAUGCCUACUUCAGCCGACAUUGUGUUUUUUCUAGACCCAUGGUGACUGGUAUGAUCUCUAUUUCUAUUGGACUUGUUCAAUUUCCCAAUAGUUACAUCCCAUAUUUACAAGCUGGAGAGAUUGAAACAUUUUUUAUAACAUCUUAUCUAUUAAAACUCCAUGUCGUUUGCUCCACCAGGGGCUUCCAGUGCGCUUUUUCCCCUCGAUCUCGUGUGAUCUGAGUGUGAGAAGGCUUAUAGUGUGCUUGAGGUUCUUCGACCUCUCUAUAAUUCCCCUAAGAUACUGGAACAAAAGGUAACUGUUGCGAUAUAUGUCAAUCUUCAAUUUCGUUGUCGCUUAGCAGUUGUUGGGCUUUGGUACCCAGUCUGUAAUUUUGCUGAUGCACCAGCGACACAUAUUUAUCAUUUUUUAUUUUUAAAUCAAUAACAAAGCACAGGUACAAUAUAAUCUUAUAUAGCUUUUAAGGUAUGUAAACAUCCACUUUAGUGAUGCUAACAAAUGUAUAAAAUAAUAAUAAUUAUUUUUUCAUAGCAAUAUAUUUUAUCAUAUUGCAUCUUAGUUCAUGCUACCUGGAUGUAAAUGUGGUGCGGUUUAGUUUAAUAAGAUCUUCACUAAUCACUACAUAGUGCAGCACUGGGCUGUUAAUAUUUUUUGUACCAUGUGUCAUAAGCAUGAGAUGUUGCCUGUAGAGUACCAAUGCUUUAUUGCAGUCUUCCUCCUCGUCUGCCCCAAUGUCGGCAAGUCAGCCCUCUUCAACAGGUGAGAGACACCUUAGGAAGGCAUCGGUCAUUGCCUCUCGCCUGUAGUUUCUAUGCCGCUAUGAGGGGUGGUGGCAUUUCCUCAAAUACGUUGCAUGUAUCACUGUAACUGUUCUUCCCCUUCCGUUACCAUUAACCCAUGCAUCUAAUUACUUGUAUAUUUUACGUUACCGUUUUCCUGUUCUCAACAUUUCAGAUUCUAGAUGAUGGUACGACAAAUUAUUUUAGGAGCGCUUUGACAUAAUUUAAAGCUUGGAAGGGAGCUUUCUAUGAUUUAUUUUUCUGACUGUUUCGUCACAUGUUCUUUCCCUAGAUGAAAGUAUUGAUUUAUUUUUGGUUCUGCAGGAUCAUUGCGUCUCUGCGAGCUAAUCAGUUCUGUGAGCGUCUCCCUAGCCCCAAUGGCGAGUCAACUGUUGAUUGUCAUCAGAUCUCAAAGAUGCCAAAUCUUGCAUUCACCAUUGCAAACAAGACUUUCACCUUAACACCAGAGCAGUACAUAGUGAAGUUGGAGCAAGCAGGACAAACUAUCUGCAUCAAUGGGUUUAUGGCAUUUGACGUACCGCCUCCUCGUGGUCCUCUCUGCUACGCUAAACAUAUCUGUACUACUCUUAAGUGUGCAAUGAGGGCGUCCACCGAGGGCAUCACCGUGCCCCCGCUCGCCCCCUCCACGCCCGCGCCUGUCUGCAUCCGCCCCCUUCGUCUCCCCGCAAUGGCCGCGUCCCUACCUCAUGUCUACGACGACAACUAGGUUAAACAUGAAGAAGUCAUCGGGCUCGGGCUCGGUGUCGUUGGCGCGGAGCAUCCCGGAGCUGUACGAGGAGAGGGGAGCCAGCAACCUCCGGGAGUUCGGGUUCCAGGAGCUCCGGGCCGCCACCAGCGACUUCAGCCGCCUGCUCAAGGUCGGCGAGGUGGCUUCGGGAGCGUUUACAAGGGCGUCGUCCGCCUUCCUGGCGGGCCCGCCGGCGGCACGGUAGUUGCCAUAAAAAACUCAAUCCCAAUGGUCAUCAGGUAUGGUCGUGUGGAUCAGUGUUUUCUUGGCUCACCUGUGUCAAUACCAUCUUGUCGUUGUUGAUCACGAAUUCGUCAGCAUUUUUACAGUAUAUUGCCUACCAUAUACAUUAUCUCUGUGUGUGUGUGGGUGAACCCUACAUCCCGUAGAAGUAGAACUACACAGGGUCUCUGUUUUUUGGAUCAUGAAAUGGACUGUACCUUGCAUGACUCUGUACAAUUCAUCUUGCUAAUGUGUCUGUGAAGUAUCUAUCAUUUUGCUAGCCCUGUUUCAUUUCAGAAGUUCAAGGUUAUCUCAUUCUGGCAUAUCUCAUUUGCCUGCUGAUGAAGUGAAGCCUUUGGUUAAAUAUGAUAAUGAUGAAGAUGCACACUCACCUGGUGGCCGUGGAAGGGGUCGUGGUGGUCGAGGCCGUGGGCGGGGCAGGGGCAGAGGUGGACGUGGAAAUGGGUUCAAUGAGUAUGCUGAUGCUGGUUGGGAAGACGAUCACGCCCCUGCAUAUAUGGGCAAUGGAUAUGCCCGCGGAAGAGGUCGCAGUUUCAGGGGCCGUGGUAGGAGAGGCGACGACGAUAACCAGCCUGAAUACCAACAUGUCGGAGGUUAUUUCAAGAAGAUCCAAUUGAACCAAAAAGUGGAAUAAAAUUUCCAACAUUUCUGGAAGACGACUCCAGUCCAUCUGCAGCGGUCCUUGUUGGGAUAGGUUUCAAAGGCAUGAGAGUGAUGAGGGUCAAAAAUCUGAACCUCUACGCUUUUGGUUUAUAUAUGCAACCAACUUCUAUCCGUGAGAAGUUGGGUCCUAAGUAUGCUUCAUUUCCAACUGACAAGCUGAUGGAGAACCCUGAUUUCUAUAGUAAUCUUCUCAGGAAAUGGGUUCAAUGAGUAUGAUGAUGCUGGUUGGGAAGACGAUCACUCCCCUGCAUAUAUGGGCAAUGGAUAUGCCCGUGGAAGAGGUCGCAGUUUCAGGGGCCGUGGUAGGAGAGGCGGCGACAAUAACCAGCCUGAAUACCAACAGGUCGGAGGUUAUUACGAGUGUUCAUGCUCCAGCUUUAGGUGGGUAACCUCACAGGACACAAAUGAAGUGUACAAAAUAUUUUCAAACAAAAUUAAGCAAGGCCUGAAGAUAAUCUGAAGAGCUUUGUACAGGCGAUUUUUUAUCAUUGUUGAUCCUGAUUCCUGAUUCUUUUAUUUUUUUCAACAACAGAUUUUCACCAUUUGUAAUGGAACUGAAACCAGCCUCUCAUCGAAGUGGAAACCUUUUUUUAGUCGUAAACAUUUACAUGGUUUAUCCAGUGGUAUGCUGAUGAAAGAUGCUAAGUUUCGCUUAAUAUAAUGUAUAUGAAGGUCCUGUGUA